Molecule: regulatory RNA element, 58 nt
Organism: Streptococcus thermophilus LMG 18311
Lineage: Bacteria; Bacillati; Bacillota; Bacilli; Lactobacillales; Streptococcaceae
Rfam family: Lacto-rpoB RNA
Source: Rfam
AUUUGUCGUCUUAUUUGAUUGAAAUAUUGUCCAAUCAAGAGAUACAGCAGUUAAAUCA